RNAcentral lists this ribosomal RNA (253 nucleotides) under uncultured bacterium. RNAcentral describes it as "partial 16S ribosomal RNA". It matches the Rfam family "Bacterial small subunit ribosomal RNA", at positions 524 to 776 of the family's 1533-position model. The record is from RNAcentral.
UACAGAGGUCUCAAGCGUUGUCCGGAUUUAUUGGGUUUAAAGGGUGCGUAGGCGGUCUAUUAAGUCAGUGCUGAAAUAUCCCGGCUUAACCGGGAGGGUGGCAUUGAUACUGAUGGACUUGAGUGCAGUCGAGGUAGGCGGAAUUGACGGUGUAGCGGUGAAAUGCUUAGAUAUCGUCAAGAACACCGAUAGUGAAGACAGCUUACUAGACUGUAACUGACGCUGAGGCACGAAAGUGUGGGGAUCAAACAGG